AAUUAAUACAAAUUUCUUACAAAUAUAUGAGUUCCAAUUACAUAUAUAUAACUGAGGCCAGAAGUGGCUGAAAAAUAUAAUGUCAAAAUACAAAAGAUGGUCACUUCUUUCAAUAUGCUAUUAGACUCAUCAAAGUGCGGGAACGAUCAUGCACUCAAGUUUUGCGGAUCCAUGGGAUCCACAUAAACUUCAAUGGGUAGGUCAACUGGUAGUUCUUCAUUCUCUUCCUCAUCCACCGGAGGGGGG
RNAcentral lists this long non-coding RNA (246 nucleotides) under Carica papaya (papaya). RNAcentral's name for it is "long non-coding RNA (CPAP_LNC011544)". The record is from RNAcentral. Lineage: Eukaryota; Viridiplantae; Streptophyta; Magnoliopsida; Brassicales; Caricaceae.